GGCUUCCUUGUCGAGUGGUAAAGACAAUUGCCUUUCACACUGGAGUCCCGGGUUCGAUCUCCGGUCUAGGAGCUA
This is a non-coding RNA of Rhamnusium bicolor, 75 nucleotides long. The record is from the annotation of a GenBank genome assembly. Lineage: Eukaryota; Metazoa; Arthropoda; Insecta; Coleoptera; Cerambycidae.